This 380-nucleotide ribosomal RNA is filed under the name uncultured eukaryote. RNAcentral describes it as "partial 18S ribosomal RNA". It matches the Rfam family "Eukaryotic small subunit ribosomal RNA", at positions 592 to 976 of the family's 1831-position model. The record is from RNAcentral.
UAAUAGCGUAUAUUAAAGUUGUUGCGGUUAAAAAGCUCGUAGUUGGAUUUCUGCUGAGGACGAUCGGUCCGCCCUCUGGGUGAGUAUCUGGCUCGGCCUUGGCAUCUUCUUGGAGAACGUUGCUGCACUUGACUGUGUGGCGCGGUAUCCAGGACUUUUACUUUGAGGAAAUUAGAGUGUUUCAAGCAGGCGCACGCCUUGAAUACAUUAGCAUGGAAUAAUGAGAUAGGACCUUGGUUCUAUUUUGUUGGUUUCUAGAGCUGAGGUAAUGAUUAAUAGGGAUAGUUGGGGGCAUUCGUAUUUAACUGACAGAGGUGCAAUUCUUGGAUUUGUUAAAGACGGACUACUGCGAAAGCAUUUGCCAAGGAUGUUUUCAUUGA